GUAAUCCUAGUUUGUUUAAAUAUGAAAAAAAAAGUUGAAUGCUUUAGUUAUCUUCAAAUAAUAAUCUAAUCAUCUUUAAUAAAAUGAUUUGGUAAGUUCUACCACUCUAGGCAUUUGAACACACUUUUGAUGACUUGCUUGCAACCUGUUUAACAAAUUUUGACCCAUUUCCUGCAAGAUCAUAAGUGAGCCGUCCCAUCAAGCUGUCGAGACAAAAAUACGACACACAUGGUUUCAAUAACCGUGUUUAAACAACAAUGUUUAGAACAUCGAUUCAAACACGAAAACCAGCAUUCCUAUACAGCGAUAUAUGUACAUAACCUACAAAAUAUAUAAGGGAUCAUGAUAAACAGAUCUCCACAAGGCGAAAUGGCAAACUAAACAAUCACAGAGCAUAUAUCUUUUCAUGGUCAUGGUCAGAUUCAUCAUCCGAAAUAUUAACCGAAUACGACCAUGAGAAAGAUUUGCUUCCACUCGCCCUCUUAAUCCGCCUCUGAGAAUCGUUAUUCCCAUAACGCUGCUGGAAAAUAGUAUAACAAAGACUCGCAAGUGUCCCGACAACAGUCACGACACCAACCACAGUCAUUGUAAUAGCCAUCCAUGAAUCCUUUUUCCCAACCACCACAAACGCAAUCGAACAAAACGCACCACAAGUACUAAUCCCUGCUGCCCACAUUAACUUAUUCACAACCGAAACAAUCUGUCUCUGGGCCCGCGUGUCCCACGCUACCAACGUGAUUUGAACCACCACAACCGCUAGAGAUAUAAACAGUGACGUGGCGUUAAAAAGACAAAAAGCCCGAAAAGCUGUAGUGCGGGCAAUAUCGGCUUCACCCGCUUGUUUACCCGAAUCCUGAUACUGGCCGGGGAGAUUGAAGAUUGCCAAAAAAGCUAUGGACGCGAAUAAGACAGCAACGACUGUUAAUGAAUUGAUAGUGUUUUGGACAGCUUCCCUGUGAAUCUUUUUGAGUUCUUUAGCUAUACCCGAAACACGUCUUUGUGUUUUUUCGUUUUGUAAGAGUUGUGAAUGGACAUCAUGUUUGAUGUCACUAACGGUCCUUUUGAGUUGCAUUUCUUCAUCGAUUCUACCAACAUGACGAGCGAGUUUGGCACCAGCUUCAGUGAGGGCUUCCAUGAUUGCUAACUUUGGUGGGCCAUAGCUCAGCUUAUCCGCUAUAUCCAUGGCGGUUUCUUGUUGAAGAUUGAUUACAUUGACACUUAUUGUGUUGAAGCUCAGCAACAUGCUUACAAUCUGAAAAAAUAAAAAUUCAAAAGUUUAGAAUAAAGCUUCUAAUGGUUCUGGUUGUAUUGGCUGAAAUUUUAUAACUCCUUUAUUUUAUUUUUAUUUUUUUCUAGAAUCUCAUUUACUAAUUUUAUUUACUAUUUCAAGCUCCAUAUAUUUUUUUUUCAAGCUUUGAUAGUUUGUUUCCACUACAUAUCCACACCAAAAGAUAAAGUAAUUCCAAUUUUUUUUCAAACUAGUUGUAUUUCUUUAUUUAUUUAUGAUGUCAUCCCGUUUUUAAACCGGUAAGACGACCAGUUCGAUCACCAGUCUGAUUACAAAAACAUUGAUUCUAUGGUUACAAAAGAUAUACUACUAAAAUAAUAAUAUAACAUAUCAUAACACUACAAUUAAUUGUUUUCAGAAAUAAAAAACUAACUUAAAAAUUGCGUUAUAUAGAAGUUUAGCAUUUAACAGGACAACCGAACCAGACCAUGACCAUUUUGAUCCGAGCCCGUUUUAGCCAACUAGCUGAGGUUUAGCAUUUAACACGUGAUAGAACAAAAGAAAUAAGCAUAUAAUUAUAGAAAGUACCGGUGAUCGGGAUUUCCUUGUAGCUAUAUGAAUGGCAGUGUUACCCUUCUUGUCACGCUCAUUUAAAAUGGAGUGACCCGCAAGCAAUAACUCCUCCACGACAGCAGUACUCUGCCCUUUUACAGCCAUAUGAAGUGCAGUUUGACCCUUUUUAUCUUUAAUCGUAUGCAAUGCCGUUUUACCAUUCUUCCUCACUAUCCUUAUGCAAGUAACAUCUGCAUCUAA
Molecule: long non-coding RNA, 2041 nt
Filed under: Helianthus annuus (common sunflower)
Lineage: Eukaryota; Viridiplantae; Streptophyta; Magnoliopsida; Asterales; Asteraceae
Description: sRNA HanXRQr2_Chr12g0533031
Source: RNAcentral